This 627-nucleotide ribosomal RNA is filed under the name uncultured Bacteroidales bacterium. RNAcentral's name for it is "bacterial SSU rRNA". It matches the Rfam family "Bacterial small subunit ribosomal RNA", at positions 86 to 711 of the family's 1533-position model. Lineage: Bacteria; Pseudomonadati; Bacteroidota; Bacteroidia; Bacteroidales. The record is from RNAcentral.
CGAUGGCGACCGGCGCACGGGUGAGUAACACGUAUCCAACCUGCCGUCUACUCCUGGACAGCCUUCUGAAAGGAAGAUUAAUACAAGAUGGCAUCAUGAGUCCGCAUGUUCACAUGAUUAAAGGUAUUCCGGUAGACGAUGGGGAUGCGUUCCAUUAGAUAGUAGGCGGGGUAACGGCCCACCUAGUCUUCGAUGGAUAGGGGUUCUGAGAGGAAGGUCCCCCACAUUGGAACUGAGACACGGUCCAAACUCCUACGGGAGGCAGCAGUGAGGAAUAUUGGUCAAUGGGCGAGAGCCUGAACCAGCCAAGUAGCGUGAAGGAUGACUGCCCUAUGGGUUGUAAACUUCUUUUAUAAAGGAAUAAAGUCGGGUAUGCAUACCCGUUUGCAUGUACUUUAUGAAUAAGGAUCGGCUAACUCCGUGCCAGCAGCCGCGGUAAUACGGAGGAUCCGAGCGUUAUCCGGAUUUAUUGGGUUUAAAGGGAGCGUAGAUGGAUGUUUAAGUCAGUUGUGAAAGUUUGCGGCUCAACCGUAAAAUUGCAGUUGAUACUGGAUAUCUUGAGUGCAGUUGAGGCAGGCGGAAUUCGUGGUGUAGCGGUGAAAUGCUUAGAUAUCACGAAGAACUCCG